This 253-nucleotide ribosomal RNA is filed under the name uncultured bacterium. RNAcentral describes it as "partial 16S ribosomal RNA". It matches the Rfam family "Bacterial small subunit ribosomal RNA", at positions 524 to 776 of the family's 1533-position model. The record is from RNAcentral.
UACGAAGGACCCGAGCGUUAUCCGGAUUUAUUGGGUUUAAAGGGUGCGUAGGCGGACAUGCAAGUCAGUGGUGAAAUCUCCCUGCUCAACAGGGAAACUGCCAUUGAAACUAUGUGUCUUGAGUACAUUUGAGGCGGGCGGAAUGUGUCAUGUAGAGGUGAAAUUCUUAGAUAUGACACAGAACACCAAUUGCGAAGGCAGCUCGCUAAACUGUAACUGACGCUGAGGCACGAAAGCGUGGGGAUCAAACAGG